This 3607-nucleotide long non-coding RNA is filed under the name Bemisia tabaci. RNAcentral's name for it is "lncRNA ENSSSA1UGG003332". Lineage: Eukaryota; Metazoa; Arthropoda; Insecta; Hemiptera; Aleyrodidae. The record is from RNAcentral.
GAAGAAAGUUUAAAAUUAGAAGAGAAAGAAAAACAACUAAAAUUAGAAAGAGGCAAGGAAGCUGAGAAACUUGAAGCCAAGAAGAGUGAGCUAGACCUAAAGGAAAAAGAACUGGACGCAGCAUAUGCACAGUAAGUUAUUAAUGACCUGAACAAUGUUUUUUUUCUGGAAAAGAAAAAAUUACCUCUCUACUUUUGUUUUUUUAAGUCAAAAUUUGUUCAUUAGAAAAAAAUCAUUAACCUAAAAAUAAAUUCCUCAGCAAAUCAUACAAUUCCUUGAAGCCAAAUUGCCUGCUCAAGGUGAUCCUAAGUUAUCCAGGGAGGAGAUCCUCUAGUAUUUUGCGCAGCUACACACUCCGUCUAUAAAAAGCAAUAAUCAUCGUAAUGUACAAAAGAAUGCAAGAAACUAAUCCGCAACAUGUAGCAGCAUUAAUACUGAGUAGUAAUUUACAUUGGAAACCACCAAAACGGACAUUACUCAUUGACUCAAUGCGUAAGUCAGAUAUUUUCUUACACACCCUAGUCAAUAAGUGACAUCAGUUAUAGUAGUUUCUAGUAUAAAUUUCCGAUGAAUCCUCUAGAAUUUUAUGUCUUAGUAGUACUCAGUAUUAUUAAUGCUGUACGCUAUGGAUCAACUUUUUGCAUUAACCUGUGCAUUACAAUAAUUAUUGCUUCUCAAAGACACCUACCGGUAAAGCACUGCAGCGUUGUGGCAGAUCUUGUCCCUAGAUCAUAGUCACUAAAUUGAAGUUUCUCCCAUAGCUUGUAGAAUGACUUUUAGUACACCUUGGGAGAAAGUAAUUUUGUUCGGACACAUUUUUUCAUCCCAUUCUUAUUCUUGGGCAUUAUCACAAAUGUGUCCAGAAAUCUGUUGGUUUAAAAGCUCAAUAAAAAUAAAUCUUAAAUGCCUUAACCUAAAUUUUGCAAUAUUGCAAUUAGUUUUGCCUUGUAUAAUUAUUCUGUUUUAUUCAUAUAGGCUAGCAGAAGAUCAGAAAAAGAUAGCAGACGAGAAGAAAACCCUGGAACUAACACAGAAACUCAUAAAUGGCUCUAACAACCUCAACUCUAACGAGCCUCAUGACAAUGUUAAAUUUCUGCAACAAUUAGCACAGCAAUGCUCAGCUUUGACAAAAAAGCUCGCCACAAUCAGAGAUAAAAGGGAAAAGGCUCCAAUCGAAAACCCCUCCACAUCUCCAUCUUUCAAGGCAGUGGACAGUUUCAUUUUCGAUCAGCAUAAAGAUUUGAUCCAGGAGACGAAGUUGAAUCUUGAACAGAAAAUGAAUGAACUAAUGCUGAAACUUGAAGAGAUUAAAGAGGCCCACUCAGUAAAAACGCCAGCGAAACAUUCAUACGUCAACGAUGCUGGCACAAGAUCGGAGGUUAUUGAUGUCGGAAAUGAAAAGAGGCCUGUUGGUGACCUGGACUUGAGUAUCAAGAAUGACUCAAACGAGAAUGCUACACCUUCGGCAACAAAUACAACAGAAAAUUGUCAGAAAUAUGAUAUCUUGGUUCCAGAUGACCUCUCACAAAACUGCUGUGACUCAGGCCGACAAUCGCCGCUUCAAGCUCUCAAGGAUGAAAAUGAUAAUAAAAUCGAUGUCAAUUCCAGCAGAACUACUUUGUUCCAUAGACUGAACGUGGAAUGUCACAUGGUUAAAAAACUCCAGGAAGAAAAUACAGAACUCAAGGCACAGGCGCUACUCCAAAAUCAAAAAAUCAUAGACUUGACUCUCCAAACACGGGAACUAGAAUCCAGAUUAAGCAUGGCGAAUACCGUGAGAGUGGUUACAGUCAGCUCAGACCCGGCUCCUCAUGUUCCUGUCCAAACCUCAGCAGUUAGUCCCUACUCACCAGUUGUUGCAACCGCUGCUCCAUUUGCACUCACAAGACCCAGACGCCAGUGGUUCAACCGGCAUGUCGGCUCCGGUGAGGAAUCUAUGUUCUCCUCCACUGCAGCUACUGCUAACUCAGCAAGAUCUCGCCUCAGGGAACUCAGGAGGAAAUUGCCCCGCAGAAUUGUGGCUCCAAUUGUAGUCAGUCAAUCAUCCUCAACUGAGACCUCCAGCGGUCAGGACACCAUGGAAGAAACCAGAAAACGCCUGAAAAGAUUGGAAAAAGAAAAUUCUGCCGUUAAUCGUUUGUAUCAAGAUUAUCAGUCUAAGAAAGAACAGCAUUUACACUCUGUUUAUCAGCCUGCGGAAACAGUUUUGACCAGUUCUCAGCCGGUGUACUGCUCAGAAUCUCAAAGAAAUUGCUCAACUCUCAUCACGAGCACUUUUUCUCCUUACACUUCAUUUCGGCCCAUUUGCUCUACGUUGAGACCCAUGAUCACGUCAGUUACGCCGCAGCCUUUAUUCUGUAAUCAAAAUACAUCUGUCAUCAAUACACAAAAAUCUUCUUGUAGUGAUUUUCUGAACGAGCCAAGUCAAAAAUGUGCCAUUUUGGAUAAAAUUACUAAACAUGAACGUUCAGAUGUGUGUAAUUAUCUUGAGGGGCCUCAACAGUGUUCAAAUCGUAAAUUUCGUCAUUAUUACCGUGACUGGUUGGAAUGCCAUUUUCGCAAGUCUUGUCCAAGCCCAUCUGAAACAGAGACAUCCCACUCCAGGGUGUCACCGUUGAAACAGAUUUUUCAUCUAAAGCAAUACAAGUAUAAAAAAAGUACAAAGAAUAGAGCUGACCAUGAAACUGAGAAGGUAGACGAACACAACCCUAAUGCUUUGGAGGUCCUACAUUUGGCAGGAGCCAACGAUAAAACUCCUCAAGUAAUCAUCAUUGAGAAUAAAGAUGAUUCCAGUCAUGUUCCUCUGCCAAAUCUCAACAAAAACGACUCGUUAAUUUCUUCGUCUGAUCUUGAUGACUCUUUGAAUUUUGAGAGGUUGAUCCUUCAAAAUCAACAAAAUGUUGCUGCUUUGAGACAGAAGUUUGAACAAUUUUGUAAUUUUAACAGCAGUACCAACUCUUCAGAUGGUGUUGCUGAUGGCGAUAAGCAGAAAAAAGGAAGAAAUAUUCGAAAACCCCCAGCCAACAAGAACGCCCAUUCGGUGAACGUUAAAGUCAAUGUUAACACUGCCGAAAGCACUAAAACUAUUGGAUCACCUGUUGAACCAGCGUCAAAAAACCAGGAAGUUUCUCAAUCAUUGGAUGUCAACACCAGUGCAGCUCCUGCAAAGCCAUCCACUCCGCCGCCUGUUGAAAUCACUUGUUCGGAUGGAAAAAAACUUGUAUCUUCCUCCGAACUUGAAGCAUCAUCCAAGAAAGUUGAGGAAAUAAAUGUUAUUCCAGAGGCUUUCAACUCUAAGUUGUGUCUAAGGAGUCCUGAAUCUUUAGCAGAUAAAAAAAUCAAAGAUAACUACAAAAGGCUCAGCUUGUAUCAUAGAUUGAACGACUAUUAUGAAGAAAUUAUCAAUGAAAUGAAUGUGAGUGAGGAAGAGAAGCAAAAUCUAUCGGAUAUUGAUCAUCUCUUACAGCCGGUCGAAGCAGAUCCUGAAAAUUUCCUUGUGAAUGAUGAAGAGGCAAAAUUGUCAGAGCAUCUUGUUAGAGCAGAGCCCGUCAUUUGUGUUACUCAAGUUGAAUCAUCUCAUCGCUCUCCCUCUGGCCAUUCAAUUUAA